Molecule: ribosomal RNA, 468 nt
Filed under: uncultured bacterium
Lineage: Bacteria
Description: partial 16S ribosomal RNA
Rfam family: Bacterial small subunit ribosomal RNA
Source: RNAcentral
GACGAACGCUGGCGGCGUGCUUAACACAUGCAAGUCGAACGGAAAGGCCCUGCUUUUGUGGGGUGCUCGAGUGGCGAACGGGUGAGUAACACGUGAGUAACCUGCCCUUGACUUUGGGAUAACUUCAGGAAACUGGGGCUAAUACCGGAUAGGAGCUCCUGCUGCAUGGUGGGGGUUGGAAAGUUUCGGCGGUUGGGGAUGGACUCGCGGCUUAUCAGCUUGUUGGUGGGGUAGUGGCUUACCAAGGCUUUGACGGGUAGGCGGCCUGAGAGGGUGACCGGCCACCUGGGGACUGAGGUACGGCCCAGACUCCUACGGGAGGCAGCAGUGGGGAAUAUUGCACAAUGGGCCGAAGCCUGAUGCGACAACGCCGCGUUCGGGAUGACGGCCUUCGGGUUGUAAACCGCUUUCGCCUGUGACGAAGCGUGAGUGACGGUAAUGGGUAAAGAAGCACCGGCUAACUACGUG